UACGAAGGGGGCUAGCGUUGUUCGGAAUCACUGGGCGUAAAGCGCACGUAGGCGGACCUUUAAGUCAGAGGUGAAAGCCCGAAGCUCAACUUCGGAAUUGCCUUUGAUACUGGGGGUCUUGAGUACGAUAGAGGUUGGUGGAAUUGCGAGUGUAGAGGUGAAAUUCGUAGAUAUUCGCAAGAACACCAGUGGCGAAGGCGGCCAACUGGGUCGUAACUGACGCUGAGGUGCGAAAGCGUGGGGAGCAAACAGG
This 253-nucleotide ribosomal RNA is filed under the name uncultured bacterium. RNAcentral's name for it is "partial 16S ribosomal RNA". It matches the Rfam family "Bacterial small subunit ribosomal RNA", at positions 524 to 776 of the family's 1533-position model. The record is from RNAcentral.